UGAGGCAGGGAUCGCCCCCCAUCAGCGCGUCGCGCCCGUGGGGGCCAAACUG
The sequence is a small RNA, 52 nucleotides long. It matches the Rfam family "ffh sRNA". The record is from Rfam.